UUAACAGCGGAGAGUUUGACCCUGGCUCAGGAUGAACGCUAGCUGCAGGCCUCACACAGGCAAGUCGAACGGCAGCGGGGGAGGAGCUUG
Molecule: ribosomal RNA, 90 nt
Filed under: Bacteroides sp.
Lineage: Bacteria; Pseudomonadati; Bacteroidota; Bacteroidia; Bacteroidales; Bacteroidaceae
Description: partial 16S ribosomal RNA
Source: RNAcentral